Molecule: long non-coding RNA, 6713 nt
Organism: Passer domesticus (house sparrow)
Lineage: Eukaryota; Metazoa; Chordata; Aves; Passeriformes; Passeridae
Exons: 3
Source: RefSeq, a predicted model, not a curated record
AAGGGUUAUGCGGCACUUUCAGGCUGAGAAGCCUUGAAAACACCACAGGCCCUCUCCUAUGGCUCUAACCAGUUUAUUUAAAUAGAUUAACACUCUUCUUAGGCAACCCUAAUUCCAGGCAUACCAUUAAAAAAGUUACAAGGGAAGAAUUGAAUAUGAUAACAGAAGUGGAAAUUUGAGGAAAAAAAGAACUAACUCUGAAAUGUCAGAAUAUUUCUUAUUUAUAAUCUAUAUCAAAAGAUGUUCAACAACCCUCUAAGCAGAUUUCAAUUCCAGUCUGCAUCAAAGAACAAGUUCUUCCAUGGCACCAGAAUUAAGAAAGCAGCAUUUCCUCCAGCUUGGUCCUUUAAAUGGGUCCAUACAGCACUCUAAGAUGAACUGUGAGUAUUUGCUGCCUGACUAUCCAGAAUGCUGGGAGUGAAAAGUUGCAAAUGCCUCUUCUUCAAUGGUAGCACCUAUUGUUUCUUACCUUUUCAAACUAAUUAUUUUGCUAGUAUGUUUUUCUGAAACUUCUAAUCAUCUUUUGAAUAAGACAGACAGGCAUAUCAGAAAAAAAAAAAAAACCACAAAAAAAACCCAACCAAAAAAAAUCCAACAACAACAACAACAAAAAAAAAACCACCAAAUUUAUUUUCUUAAGAGUACAAAUUGAAGAAAUUAAUGCACUGUCCUAGUAGUUAUUGGAAAUAUUAAGAUCAGUUAUCUAGACAACAGAUGUAAAAGACAGUGCCACAAAUGGAUUCCAAUAGCAAUAUAAGGAAAUGCUAGGGUUUAUCCUUUCCAAAAUGCUUUGUACUACUCAGUGGCUGAUGUUUUUUAGGGGAACCAUGAAAACAAUAACAAAUGUGAAGAGUGUUCUGAAGAAAAAAAUCUCAGAUGAUUGAGGGUAAAACAACAAAUAUCAGCAGAAUGCAUUCAUGAAUUCAAACUCUUCCAACUACAACUUUGUUACUUUUUCAGAAUUUUAAAGUUUGCUAAAUCUGUUUCAAAGGCAAAACCGAACUUUUCACCCGUGUCAGGGUAACACUCAAAUAAAUAAAAAAAAACCUGCAUUAGCCCCUGUACUUGAGGGAUCUAGCUUGGAACAGUUGACAGCCACAAAUCUAGUAGAGUCUACAACAAAAUGCCAGAAUGAAACACAUUCUAGCCAAAUCCAUAAAUCUAAAGAAUUGCUGUGUAUAACCACCAUUGCCAGUUUAUGUUUUACAAUUUUGUAAGAAAAGAAUCACUGUAAUAUGUUACCCUAGACCUAUCAUAUGUUACCCUAGACCUAUCAUGACCUCAAAGAUGACAGGCUGCUUGGACAACACCAACAACUAGAUACAGCUAGAGGAGUAAUAGAAGCAUGUCAUGCUGUAAAACUACCUAAGGUUUAUAAUUAAAAAGUAGGUACUGAUUAUCUGAAUUAAGUUCUGCAGUCAACAUUUUUGUUAGAGCUUGUAACGUACUUCUGUGUUGCCCAAGAAUUUAUUAGAGAAAAGGAGGACUUUGACAAAGAGAACAGAUCCAAAGCUACCUCCAUCCACCAUUUUUCCUUAAAUGUUCUUCUGUAAGUAUAUUUACUUUAAUGUUAGUGAAGGAAAUGAAAUUUGUAGACAUCAGUGGUUUUUUUACACAAACAUGCCUUGAUGCCUUCAGUUUGGUGAGACACUCUGGUUGUCUUCACUGACAGUUUAGUAAAAGAUACUUGACCAGGUCUCACUAUAAUUAGCUUAAGGACGAGCCUAAGCUUCCUUCAUCCUUUAUUACAGAAGAUAAUUUACUUGUAAACUGGCCAUUCAAAUAAGUUGUACAAGCUGAACAUUCCCUUGGCUCUAGGAGACAAUUCCACAUUAGUAAGAUUACUUAUGAAGGUAAUGUUUCUCCCAUAAUUCUAGAAUCCUAUUCUUAGGAUAGAAUUCAUUACCACCACAGUUAGUCCAAACCAAAUACAUGGUCCAUACAACUGCUCCUCUGAGUUUCCUGAAACAACAACAACAAAUAUACCACCUCCACCAAAACCCCCAAAUGACUCAAGAUCUUAUUUUAAGAUAUUCUUCAAGCAUUCCACUCCUCAGUAACUGGGGUUAACAGGGUAACAGGGUCUGGAGAUUUACCUAUUUUUAUGCAGCCAUUAAAAGAACAGAUUCUGAAUUUUUCAAUUCAAGUUAUUUCCAAUUAUAUCAAACUGACUAAAAGAAUGUUUUUCCAAAUAUAUUUUUAAGUAUCAAUUCUGUAUACAUUGCCAUGAAGCAGGCUAAAGCACUCGGAGAGAAAGCUAGAGAUUAGCAAACAUAAAAGCAAAGUGGCUGUUCGUAAAUAAAAAAUCAAGUCCCUGAAAGCCAAUCUUGGCACCUUAGGCAAUCCCUACAACCAUGUCAGCACAGCGUGAUGCUUACCAGACUAGUCACACCCCACUACCUCAGGUAAACUGUUAAAUAUUAAACCACAUCCAAGCCAGGCAUCCAACAACAAAAGGGGAAGAAAACCAAGCAGCAAAACUGUGGAUACUGAACCACAGAGCUUAAUAACUAAAGGUGAGUGCCACAAAAGUACUGAAAAAAUAAUUGGAAUUGGAAAAUAUAUGUAAGCAGAUAUUACUGUCACCAAUGAUGAUAUAAUAAAAGCAGCAAAAAAUGAAAUACAUUAUAAAUGCAAAAGAAGGAAAAAAUGCUGACAUAAAAAAACCCUCAAGACUGGCAUAUACUUUAUUUGAAAGCAAGAGAGAGAAAGGAAGAUUUACAAACUUAGAAAUUUAGAAACCCAUUUAAAGAAGGCUGUCUCGUUAUAGAAUCCUGCUUUAUGUCCUAAAGAUAUCCUUUACCCUGCCCUACCAUCUGAAAUUUAAAUAUCUCUUUAGAAAUCUACUUAGCUUUGUAACCAUGUAUUUAAAGUAUUGUAACUGUAACAAGGCAACUAAUAUUCCACUAUGUUUACCAUGUUCUUUCUUUUAUUAUUUAAGAAAUUUAUACUCAAUUUAAGAGCAAAUUCAGCAGCAGCAAUGCUACGGGAAAGAAAUGCAUUAUAUUGAAAGCAACAACAAAAAAACCUCUCACUACAAAAUAAUAUUUUAUCAAACAUGCUUGAAAUUUACUAUCACAUUUGACAACAUUAUUUAAGAUAUUAAUUAUAACUUUGUUUGCCUUCCGGUGUGAACUUUGCCAACACAUUAGCUUUCACAAGCAGAUAUUUAUUCACAAGACACUGUUACUACCGGUGUUGAUUUUGAUGUCACAUGAAAUGAAAUCUAUUUUAACAUUUAAAACACAUACAAAUCAAACAAAAAAAAUUCUGUAAGCCAAACAUACAUAAACCUUCCCACAUGGCUUUUUGUUGACCUCACUGUAAAAGACACACAGUUCCACAGCACAUUCUGUUCUGCUUUUCCAACAUAAAAGUACUGAGCACCUGAAAAGAUAGUGAUUUAACAAACCACAGCUUGUAUUUCCUGGAUAGAUACCAAUCUUUUAUUUUUAUUCCAUGUGUGACUUAGAACAAACCAUUUCAACUUAUACUUUCAGCCUACAGGCAUUUAUUUAUAAACAAUAUCCUAAAAUUAUUAAAUCCUUUUUACUCACCACUACUUUUCUUUCAAAGAAACAGUUCGCUAAGCUCUUAGCUAAGAUUGACUGAAGAAAGCAUUUGAAAACAUCAAACUGUAGAAUGAAAACAUGUAUAAGGAUUCUUAUUAGCUAGGUUUAUCUAGCAUGCCUUUUUUGCCCUGAAAUCAAAAACCUGAGUUAAAAAAAAUUAGGUACAAUGUAAAACUCAAGUGAAGUAAAGAAUAAUGAAAGGCAUACCAGCAUACAGAAAUGAAAAUAAAAUAUAAUAAAAAAGUAAAAAUUUAAGGAAAAUUCAUUAAUUAUUUUAAAAAGAGGGAAGGAUGUCAUUAAUCAAUGACAAUGAUGAUGACUGCUACUAUACAACACUGAGUAUUUAACUAAUCUCUAUUUUCACAAUAAAUGUACUUAUAAUACAAAUUGAAUAUUAAGAAUUGCACAAUUGGAUCCAAAGCAUAUUUGUUUGUUUAUUAGUUUUCUGGCUUCUAAUGUUACAAAACAUUCCUAAUGGAAAUUUUCAUAUAAUCUGACAAAAUGCUUGAUGCUCAGGAAGUAAUAUUACAUUCCAAAAGAUGGUUUGAGAAAAGGUAAUGGUAACUGAUUUUUGUAAUUAUCUGGUAACUUUUUUUAAUUUGGCUCCAGCCUACUGCACCUACAGAGAAUAAAAAAAAAAUCAAAUAUAAAGAACAUUCAGCCACAACAUACAGGAUUUAUGUCAUGAACAGCAGAAACUGAAUUUGAUUUCUAAGUCCUAAGAUAAAGACAUAUGACUAUAUAACAUACCAUUUCAUUGUUCUUCCAUAAUUGCCAAGUAACGGUAAAAAUAAUAUCAAACAGAUAUCAUUACCUAUCUCUUUAUAAUCUGGAAAUACAGAAACCUAAACUACGACACGUACAACAACAACACUGAACACUAAUUAUAUAAAUUUUGAGAUAUCUUUAUUUCACUUGUUUUCCUCAUUGCAGCUUCUUGUCUUGCCCACCAGGAUUUCUACUACUUGACUUUCUUGAUAUUCAUUUUAAUCACUGACUUUGAAAAGUCAGGCAGGACUUGACAGGAACAUUCUAAAAUACUAGCACAAUAGAAUAGAGGUACUUGAAACAGGUACUGACUAUGUCAUAGUAUUAGAUCAUUUAGGGCACUCUGAGUCUCACUGUGCAUUCACGUACUUUACUCAAUCAGAAAAAUUAUUUUUUCCUUGGAAAAAAUUCACUGGAAACACUUUACAGAAAUCCUACACCCCUCUUUAACUUAAAUUCUCAAAUUUGACGAGAUAAAUUUAACAACUUAUUGAUAAAAUAAAACCACAUCAUAAGUAAUGUAUCUUGCUUAUCCAGGCCUUAAUCAUUCCAUUCAACUCAGCUUAUUAGCUCAUAUGAAACAUCUCCAUUUAAAAAAAGGGAUUACUUUCUAAUACUGCCAUAAUUAUGAAGACUACAUUUAUCAUAAUUAGUAAUGCAUACAUAUGUUUUUACUUAUCCCUCAAGCAGUGCUAAAUAAGAGCAAAAGAAAUCAAAGUACAUUAAUUUUGCUAUGGAUCUGAAUGUCCCAUCAUAAUAAACUCCAGCCAAAACAACCAAAAAACCCCCAGUGCUUCAGUCAACAGAAGCAUUGAUUAUCAACCUAUUUUUUCUGACUUCACCUAUAAUAGUUACUGCAAUACAUACUUCCUUAGAUCCUUGCUCUUGAUCUUUAUCAUUGCUAUUAAUUUUAUAUCUGUAGCUAUAUGAUAAAGCAAACAUUUUUUUAAAAACAAACAUCUCUUUACAUGUACUCAAAAAUGAUCGCGCUUGCUUCUGAAAUCCCUUUUUUUUGGACACAGUCCAGUUCUUAUCAAAGUGAACAGAGGUAUAGUCAAGUUACAGGAAAAUAUUUUAGAUACCCUCAUUACAAAAAAGAUUGAUACCCUCUUCAGAUUGCUGGCUGUUAUGUACAUUGAACAUCACUCACAAAUCACCAGGCAGUAAGCCAAAUAUAGAAUGCUUCAUCAACACCCCUGAACUUGUUUCAGCAAAGAAAGGAAAUUAUCCAAUUUAUUUUAAAAUUCUGAAUAAUUUCCAAUAAAAAUGUCAUUUGCAGUUCUUUCUCUUUUAGUUUAUUCUUCUCUCUUGCUCCAACAAAAGAACUAAAAACUGAAAAUUAAGACUUUGAUAAAUACACACAAAUAAAUGUCCACAGAAAUCAGCAACUGGGGUUUGGUUUUGCCAGGUAUUCAAGCAAGGUCCCUCCUUCGUUCAUAAAACUCUUUGCUCAUCAUUGUCUUUUCCUUAAGAGACAUAAAAAAAUUUGGUUUCCUGCUACUGCUUUUAUUUUUUUUUGCCUCUGCAGAACUCCAGUGAAAACUCUGAAGGAUAAAUGAGAGGAAAUAAAUAUUAGUCUGUGUCCAGACCUAAGUUUGCAAAAUCCAUAGAAUGAAGUGUUGGACGAAAAUAACAGAAAUGUAAUACACUGAAGAAAAAAGGAACCCAAGAGUUGUGUUGUUAGGGAGAUCAUCUCCUGGGCACCCAAUCCAGGUUUUUAUAAUAUAUGUCAAGAGGACUAUGUUGUGACUCUAGCCCUAUCCCUCCACUUCUACAUGUGAGGUUUUAAAUGCAGCCCUAGGAAACUGAACUGGCCAACAAGACUAGAAGGCAAACUAGAUCAUGUCCAGGAACUUCAGCUGUAGAGCAAAAAUCCCAAGUAAAAUUAUAGUAUAGCUUGGGCUGCCAUGGAUAUCAGGAGCUGCCAAGCCCAACUUCCCUCCCAAAGCAGGUUCAGAUUUGGCAUUAGACUAGCAACCCAGGACUUUAUCCAGUCAGAGGCUGAUAAUCUCCCAAGAUGGAAAUGGCAAAACCUCACCUGGUCCAAAGUGCAUUGUUGGGCUGUCCUCAUGGGGAAAAAGGGUCUCCUUGUGUCUAAUCUAAACCUCUUGUGAUUGUCUCCUAUCCUUUCACCACACACUUCCACAGGAAGUGCACUUCCAGGGAAGGCUGCUGUUGGGAUCCCUGUAACUCUCUCUUCUCUAGACUGAACAAUUCCAUGUCUUUCAGUGCCUAUUCACAGAUGUGCACUCUAGCUCCCGACCAUCUUAGUGGCCCUUUGCUGAACUUACUCCAACCAACAUAAUUCCUACAACUGCAGAAGAGUGACAGUAAAAGCAGAAAUGCAUGUAAAUAUUGUAUAAUAAAUACAGA